RNAcentral lists this ribosomal RNA (492 nucleotides) under uncultured bacterium. RNAcentral's name for it is "partial 16S ribosomal RNA". It matches the Rfam family "Bacterial small subunit ribosomal RNA", at positions 29 to 507 of the family's 1533-position model. The record is from RNAcentral.
AGUGAACGCUGGCGGUAGGCCUAACACAUGCAAGUCGAACGGCAGCACAGUAAGAGCUUGCUCUUACGGGUGGCGAGUGGCGGACGGGUGAGGCAUACAUCGGAAUCUACUUUUUCGUGGGGGAUAACGUAGGGAAACUUACGCUAAUACCUCAUACUACCUACGGGUGAAAGCAGGGGAUCUUCGGACCUUGCGCGAUUGAUUGAGCCGAUGUCGGAUUAGCUAGUUGGCGGGGUAAAGGCCCACCAAGGCGACGAUCCGUAGCUGGUCUGAGAGGAUGAUCAGCCACACUGGAACUGAGACACGGUCCAGACUCCUACGGGAGGCAGCAGUGGGGAAUAUUGGACAAUGGGCGCAAGCCUGAUCCAGCCAUACCGCGUGGGUGAAGAAGGCCUUCGGGUUGUAAAGCCCUUUUGUUGGGAAAGAAAAGCAGCAGGUUAAUACCCCGCUGUUCUGACGGUACCCAAAGAAUAAGCACCGGCUAACUUCGUG